UACGUAGGUGGCGAGCGUUGUCCGGAGUUACUGGGCGUAAAGCGCAUGCAGGCGGCUCAUUACGCAUGGCGUGAAAGCCCCCGGCUCAACCGGGGAGGGUCGUCGUGAACGGGUGAGCUUGAGGGUAUCAGGGGCUGGUGGAAUUCCCGGUGUAGUGGUGAAAUGCGUAGAUAUUAGGAGGAACACCGGUGGCGAAGGCGGCUUUCUGGACUGUAACUGACACUGAGGCACGAAAGCGUGGGGAGCAAACAGGAUUAGAUACCCGCGUAGUCCCU
This 275-nucleotide ribosomal RNA is filed under the name uncultured prokaryote. RNAcentral's name for it is "partial 16S ribosomal RNA". It matches the Rfam family "Bacterial small subunit ribosomal RNA", at positions 524 to 798 of the family's 1533-position model. The record is from RNAcentral.